This is a ribosomal RNA of 591 nucleotides. It matches the Rfam family "Eukaryotic large subunit ribosomal RNA", at positions 88 to 608 of the family's 3401-position model.
GGCGAAUGAACCUAGAUAUGCUCAAUUUGAAAAAUACAGUGAUACUGUUUGACAUGUAAUUUCAAAAUGUACAACCAAUUGGCAUGCAAGUGGAAGCUCAUUGAAAGAAUGCGUCGAAGAAGGUGAAAAUCCAUUUUGCCACUUGUAAUGUUGUUGUUUAUGGUGUAUAUUUCAGGAGUCACAUUCCUUGGCAUUGGAAUGCAAUGUGGGUGGUAAACUUCAUGCAAAGAUUAAUAUGUGUUUGAGAUUGAUAGUACACAAAUACCGUGAGGGAAAUAUGAAAAGGACUUUGAAAAGAGAUUUAAAAGAGUUUGCAGUUGCUGAACAAAAAACAAAUAGGAUGUCCACGAUUGAGCAGAUUGUUGAACCUCGGUUUGCUUCAAUUGCUAGCAUGUGUGUAUUCAAUGAUUCUAUCUUUGUCUACCAUACCAUUCUCAGCGUAUCAUGACACUUGCAGGUGCUUCGUGUUUUUGCUUGCGAGCUAAUGACAACACCUGCUUGAGAAUGGUAUGCCAAGUGUUCAUUGUGCUUAGAGUCUGCAUGGUGCUAUUGUUAAGCUGCAGGUUUGAACUUGUGCUUGAGCUGUGCUCU